CCAGAUGGCCGGAUGGCCGCUGUGGUGACACAGAGGAAAGUCCGGGCUCCACGGAAACACGGUGCCGGAUAACGUCCGGCGGGGGCGACCCCAGGGAAAGUGCCACAGAAAGCAAACCGCCUGCUUCGGCAGGUAAGGGUGAAAGGGUGCGGUAAGAGCGCACCGCGCGUCUGGCAACAGAGGCGGCACGGUAAACCCCACCGGGAGCAAGACCGAAUAGGGAUGGCACAUGGCCCGUUUCCGGGCUGCUAUCCGGGUUGGUUGCACCAGGCGUCUGGCAACAGGCGUCGCAGAUGAAUGGCCAUCGCCUGCCGCCUUCCGGGGCAGCAGGUACAGAACCCGGCUUACAGGCCAUCUGGCGCU
Molecule: RNase P RNA, 363 nt
Filed under: Pyruvatibacter mobilis
Lineage: Bacteria; Pseudomonadati; Pseudomonadota; Alphaproteobacteria; Hyphomicrobiales; Parvibaculaceae
Description: Bacterial RNase P class A
Rfam family: Bacterial RNase P class A
About the family: Ribonuclease P (RNase P) is a ubiquitous endoribonuclease, found in archaea, bacteria and eukarya as well as chloroplasts and mitochondria. Its best characterised activity is the generation of mature 5'-ends of tRNAs by cleaving the 5'-leader elements of precursor-tRNAs. Cellular RNase Ps are ribonucleoproteins.
Source: Rfam by way of RNAcentral